UGCCAAAAAGCAUACACUGAAGUCCU
Molecule: non-coding RNA, 26 nt
Filed under: Mus musculus (house mouse)
Lineage: Eukaryota; Metazoa; Chordata; Mammalia; Rodentia; Muridae
Source: RNAcentral